UGGCUUCCUGCACCUGGUGACGCUUGGCGAAACUGAGGUCUCAUGGAGAAGCCCCGGAGUAUUGAGGAGACCCCAUCUUCAGAGCCAAUGGAGGAAGAGGAAGAUGACGACUUGGAGCUGUUUGGUGGCUAUGAUAGUUUCCGGAGUUAUAACAGCAGUGUGGGCAGUGACAGCAGCUCCUAUCUGGAGGAGUCAAGUGAAGCAGAAAAUGAGGAUCGGGAAGCAGGGGAACUGCCGACCUCCCCGCUGCAUUUGCUCAGCCCUGGGACUCCUCGCUCCUUGGAUGGCAGUGGUUCUGAGCCAGCUGUCUGUGAGAUGUGUGGUAUCGUGGGUACAAGGGAAGCCUUCUUCUCCAAGACCAAGAGGUUCUGCAGCGUCUCCUGCUCCAGGAGCUACUCCUCCAACUCCAAGAAAGCCAGUAUCUUGGCUAGAUUACAGGGAAAACCACCGACCAAAAAAGCCAAAGUCCUGCACAAGGCUGCCUGGUCUGCCAAAAUUGGAGCCUUCCUCCACUCUCAAGGGACAGGACAGCUGGCAGAUGGGACACCAACAGGACAAGACGCUCUGGUCUUGGGCUUCGACUGGGGGAAGUUCCUGAAGGAUCACAGUUACAAGGCUGCUCCCGUCAGCUGUUUCAAGCACGUGAGUGCCCUGGAGCUGAGGGAGGGAGGCCGGGGAGCCGGGCAUGGAGCUGCUCCUCCACCUGCUUCACCAGGGCGGCUUCAGGCUGGACAGUGACAGUGGGGAGGUCUGGGCAGGAGACGGAUGGCGUUACCACUCGCUCCAUUUCAUGUUUAUGUCAAAAAAAUCCUCCUACAAACACUUCUAUCACCUGCUUGGCUUCACUCCCAGUCUGAAGCCCUUCAGUUUAUUUACAUAAUAGAACUUGGUGCUAGCUGAUGUCGAAGGGUCUUUGCAGUCUGAAACCCUUCUCUCCUUUCUCCCCCAUUUGCAGCAUUUUCCCAUGGAAAGCAGGGUGCUUCUGUAGCUGGCCUGGGCCCCGUGGGCCCCGAGAGGCAGAUGUGGAUGCUCCUGGAGCCACUUCUGUAAAAGGCUCCUCGAUGCGGAUCAUGUAAAAGCCAGAACGAAGGGCAAGGCCCUUAGGGGCGGGGCUUGAGCGCAAGAACCGAAUAUCCAGCAGCUGUGACGUGUGGAGCCUGCAGGCCGGGAGAGCAGAGCCCACAACAGCACUCUUGUUUUGUCUUCACACCACGUCCCUAAGCUCCGGGAAAUCCAGGAGGAGGCCUCUUUAGUCUUGAGGAAGUAGGGAGUCUUUUACCCAGAGUAAGCCACUUCCUCUCCUCCUUUCAGAACUGCCACUGAACUCUGGGGAGUGCCCUGAACAAUGACAGCUGCUUCUUGACUCAGCUAACUCACUCCUCUCGUCUCUGAAUGGUUAAUGAAGGUGCACCUCCUUCCUGCUGGAGGGGGAGCCUCUUUUUUGCCCUGAAUUCUCUAAUAGUUUCAGCAUUUUCAUUUCCAGGGAGUUGCAUCAUACUUGUGUCUAACACAUAUAAUCCAAUUUGCUUUGUAAAAAGCCUGCCCCUGGGUGCCUGGGCUAGCGCAACUGUGUCCGGGUUCUGUGAUGAACUAAACUCAAGUGACCAGGGAGAUGGAAUGGGAUACCUCAACUGGCUGAAGCCAGGGCUGAGAAUAAAAAAGGUGAAUUUGGCCAGGCGCAGUGGCUUACCCCUGGAAUCCCAGCACUUUGGGAGGCCGAGGCGGGUGGAUCACCUGAGGUGAGGAGUUCGAGACCAGCCUGGCCAACAUGGUGAAACCCCAUCUCUACUAAAAAUACAAAAAUUAGCUGGAAGUGGUGGCGGGCACCUGUAAUCCCAGCUACUUGGGAGGCCGAGACAGGAGAAUCCCUUGAACCUGAGAGGCAGAGGUUGUAAUGAGCUGAGAUUGCGCCACUGCACUCCAGCCUGGGUGACGGAGCAAGACUCUAAAAAAAGUGAUUCUCCCAAAGGAGAAUCAAAAGUACCAUUGGCAGGAAAGUGAGGAUUAGGUACUGGGAAGGCAACUGAAACAGUCCAGUGCUGUCCUGGGGCACUUUAUUUUAUUUUAUUUUUUCGAUAUGGGAGUUUCACUCUUGUUGCCCAGAGCUGGAGUGCAAUGGCACUAUCUCGGCUCACAGCAGCCUCCCCCUCCCAGGUUCAAGCGAUUCUCCUGCCUCAGCCUCCGGAGUAGCUGGGAUUACAGGCAUGUGCCACCACCACGCCCGGCUAAUUUUGUAUUUUUAGUAGAGACAGGGAUUCUCCAUGUUGGUCAGACUGGUCUCGAACUCCCAGCCUCAGGUGAUCCGCCCGUCUCGGCCUCCCAAAGUGCUGGGAUUACAGGCGUGAGCCACCAUGCCUGGCCCCCUGGAGCAUUUCAGUAGGAGGGGAGGUAGAGAGUAAACUUGCAGGUGGAUGGCUGUGUGUAAACGAGGGGGUCAUAAUGCCCACAGCCCAGGUUUGCAUGAUGAUUGAAGGAAAGUAUAUUUGUGCUAAUAUCAGCGCCCUGCCAUUGCUCGGGCUGGCACAGGGACGAAGGGAUCGAGGCUCACCAAGGCAUCAUGUGCCCAAAAUGAUACAGUAAGAAACCAGUCCUAUAAAGAUUUUAGGACUCGGUUCUGUCUGACUCUGGGUCUCUAGCCAUCACCCUGCAUCCCACCACCUCUACCUCUACUCCCGGCUUAGCUCUUCAAGGACAGGAGACCUCAUCUCUUUAUCUCUAGUGGCUGGUUCUGCACACAGUGGGUGAUGUGAAAAGUUGAGGUGCAAACGAGGACUUGACUGAGGCCGUGAGGCAGUCUGUCUCCCCUGCUAGCACAGUUAGCUCACUCUCUCGGUACACUCUCAUCGCCACACAGGUCCCACUCUAUGACCAGUGGGAGGAUGUGAUGAAAGGGAUGAAGGUGGAGGUGCUCAACAGUGAUGCUGUGCUCCCCAGCCGGGUGUACUGGAUCGCCUCUGUCAUCCAGACAGCAGGGUAUCGGGUGCUGCUUCGGUACGAAGGCUUUGAAAAUGACGCCAGCCAUGACUUCUGGUGCAACCUGGGAACAGUGGAUGUCCACCCCAUUGGCUGGUGUGCCAUCAACAGCAAGAUCCUAGUGCCCCCACGGACCAUCCAUGCCAAGUUCACCGACUGGAAGGGCUACCUCAUGAAACGGCUGGUGGGCUCCAGGACGCUUCCCGUGGAUUUCCACAUCAAGAUGGUGGAGAGCAUGAAGUACCCCUUUAGGCAGGGCAUGCGGCUGGAAGUGGUGGACAAGUCCCAGGUGUCACGCACUCGCAUGGCUGUGGUGGACACAGUAAUCGGGGGUCGCCUACGGCUCCUCUACGAGGAUGGUGACAGUGACGACGACUUCUGGUGCCACAUGUGGAGCCCCCUGAUCCACCCAGUGGGUUGGUCACGACGUGUGGGCCACGGCAUCAAGAUGUCAGAGAGGCGAAGUGACAUGGCCCAUCACCCCACCUUCCGGAAGAUCUACUGUGAUGCCGUUCCUUACCUCUUCAAGAAGGUACGAGCAGUCUACACAGAAGGCGGUUGGUUUGAGGAAGGGAUGAAGCUGGAGGCCAUUGACCCCCUGAAUCUGGGCAACAUCUGCGUGGCAACUGUCUGUAAGGUUCUCCUGGAUGGAUACCUGAUGAUCUGUGUGGACGGGGGGCCCUCCACAGAUGGCUCGGACUGGUUCUGCUACCAUGCCUCUUCCCACGCCAUCUUCCCGGCCACCUUCUGUCAGAAGAAUGACAUUGAGCUCACACCGCCAAAAGGUUAUGAGGCACAGACUUUCAACUGGGAGAACUACUUGGAGAAGACCAAGUCGAAAGCCGCUCCAUCGAGACUCUUUAACAUGGAUUGCCCAAACCAUGGCUUCAAGGUGGGCAUGAAGCUGGAGGCCGUGGACCUGAUGGAGCCCCGGCUCAUCUGUGUGGCCACGGUGAAACGAGUGGUGCAUCGGCUCCUCAGCAUCCACUUUGACGGCUGGGACAGCGAGUACGACCAGUGGGUGGACUGCGAGUCCCCAGACAUCUACCCCGUCGGCUGGUGUGAGCUCACCGGCUACCAGCUCCAGCCUCCUGUGGCCGCAGGUGUGGGCUCUCGUGGCCCUAAGAGGCUCCGACUUUCUUUCCUCUUCUUUUUUCCUUCUUCCCCCGCCCCUGUGCCCAUCUCCGUUCUUUGGCAUGAGGUGGAGAUGUCUCAUGGACCACUCUAAGUAGAGAGUGAGCCCCGUCACCCAGCCCCUGCUCCUGACUUCUCUGUCUCCCUUUCCCUCUGGCCUGCAGAGCUCCUUCCUUCAUCUUGCCCACUCUGUCAUAUGUUCGUGCCCUUGGUAAACUACCCAGGUCCCUCUGAGCAGCCCUGGUGACAAGGGUGGGAAGAAGGGACAGCUGUUCUCCGGCCCCUCCUCCAGCCCCACCCUCUCCUCAUUGCCCAGCUUUGGCUUCCUGUCUUGGGGUGUCUCGUGUGGGAGGGUGGAUGGGGUCUCGGGAUGUGCCUGUGCCCUGUGUCCUCCCAGGGACCCUCUUCUCAUCUCUUUCACCCUUGUCUUUCAACAACAGAACCGGCCACACCGCUGAAGGCCAAAGAGGCCACAAAGAAGAAAAAGAAACAGUUUGGGAAGAAAAGGAAAAGAAUCCCGCCCACCAAGACACGACCCCUCAGACAGGGGUCCAAGAAGCCCCUGCUGGAGGACGACCCUCAGGGUGCCAGGAAGAUCUCGUCGGAGCCUGUUCCUGGCGAGAUCAUUGCUGUGCGUGUGAAGGAAGAGCAUCUAGACGUGGCCUCGCCCGACAAGGCUUCAAGUCCAGAGCUGCCUGUCUCCGUCGAGAACAUCAAGCAGGAAACAGACGACUGAGCCUUCCUGCCUCCAGCCUGGCUUCUAGCUGGAAGCCAGCCCAGGGUUUCUCUACCACCACCACCAUGCCUCCACCUGACUUUGGCUUGGAGACUGAUCCUCUCUGUGUAAAUUCUGCCCGGUGCUGUGAAGGCUGGACGGUGGAGGACCUGCUGGGGUCUCCUGGGACCCGCCUGUUGCUUCUGCCCUCCCCUGUGGAAAGGCCUAUAUGACGGGCCGCCAGAGGCCCUGGAACUCGUCUGUGAACCACCUUCUCCAGCCAGAGUUCCCAAAGCUGGAACGCUAGCUGCCUGCUCUUCCUUAAGAUGGCCUCCCCCCGACCCGCCACGGCCCUCAGUUGCCAGGGAUGGGGCCACCACUGUCACACUGUGGAACACAAGACAGUGAACUCUGUCUGCCUGAACGAGUCAUGUAAAUUAAGUUCUAGAGCAGCUCUCUGAGCAGGAUAAGGUCCCCUGACAGUGAGUUGUGUGGUGGGGGCAGCCUCUGCCUCAAAAAUUCACCAAGCAGAAUGCCUCUCAGCCUCAUGUGUUGGUCCUCUGCUCCUCCUAGCUCCCCAGGGAUGUUGGGGACCCAGCUUGUCUCGGCAGCUAAGAAGCAGUGACCAGGAUGUGGAUUUUGGCGAACUGUGUGGUGGCCUUGAGCUGCUUUCUGUGUUUGUGAGGACUGACUCCCAUUUCCUAAAGGAAAUGCCCCCGGGGAGGACAUUGGGAGGAAGAUGGCCUGAGUGUGCACUUUGGCUCUGCUACCUGCUCCUGAAGCCCCGCUAAAAAUAAUUCAUCCAAGAUUCCUUUGUAGUUAAAGGGUCCAGUUCCGACUGGAGCCUCUGGAGGGAGAGCUGGGCUUGUAUGUUCUUUUGGCCUUUUGUUCCUACCUAAAUGAAGAAACCAUGCCUGGAGGGGCCGUGAACACAGAACCCUCAAGACAAGGAUGACAGAGCUGGAGGACACAUCUAGCUGCCAUUGCAACCUCACUGGGCUCCCCAGACUUUGUGUAUGAGAAAUUAAAUCCCCUACUUGCUUG
This 5866-nucleotide small RNA is filed under the name Pan troglodytes (chimpanzee). Its description in RNAcentral is "retained intron". Lineage: Eukaryota; Metazoa; Chordata; Mammalia; Primates; Hominidae. The record is from RNAcentral.